AGCGGUGUAGCUCAACUGGAAAGAGCGACUGAUGUUCGAUGGGCUUCCUACUUCUCCCAGCGUCAGUAAGUGUGGGUUCGACUCCCGCCACCGCAACCA
This 99-nucleotide transfer RNA is filed under the name Gammaproteobacteria bacterium. RNAcentral describes it as "tRNA-OTHER". It matches the Rfam family "tRNA". Rfam says of the family: Transfer RNA (tRNA) molecules are approximately 80 nucleotides in length. Their secondary structure includes four short double-helical elements and three loops (D, anti-codon, and T loops). Further hydrogen bonds mediate the characteristic L-shaped molecular structure. tRNAs have two regions of fundamental functional importance: the anti-codon, which is responsible for specific mRNA codon recognition, and the 3' end, to which the tRNAs corresponding amino acid is attached (by aminoacyl-tRNA synthetases). tRNAs cope with the degeneracy of the genetic code in two manners: having more than one tRNA (with a specific anti-codon) for a particular amino acid; and 'wobble' base-pairing, i.e. permitting non-standard base-pairing at the 3rd anti-codon position. Lineage: Bacteria; Pseudomonadati; Pseudomonadota; Gammaproteobacteria. The record is from RNAcentral.